UCAAAGCAACUUGUAUGUAACAGUGCUCAGAUUGUUGUAAACGACAGUUUUAUGAGGUCGUAAGAACGACAACAUUACAAAACUCGGACUAAAAUGUACUCUCAAUUUGCAAAUGAAGACGCGCCCGCGAGCGCAAGGUCAUCAUCAGCCAAUCGCACCAAGCUGCUUGUCAAUAUAUCGGCAUGGGCCACAAGGACACUUGCUUUCUUAAGCAUCAUCUUCGCUGUCGUUGCCUUUACGAUGUUACAUAAUAUCUGGUUUGGAGCUGUUAUGUGUGCCACAGCAGUAUUCAGUAUUUCGAGUCCAUUAAACUUUAACGCUUGCUGUUAUUCGGAUUGUUCACGAAACACAUCAG
This is a long non-coding RNA of Mya arenaria, 355 nucleotides long. RefSeq lists it as uncharacterized. Lineage: Eukaryota; Metazoa; Mollusca; Bivalvia; Myida; Myidae. The record is from RefSeq and is a predicted model, not a curated record. The transcript is spliced from 3 exons.